CCUACGGGUGGCUGCAGUGAGGAAUAUUGAGCAAUGGGCGCAAGCCUGACUCAGCAACGCCGCGUGGACGAUGACGGCCUUCGGGUUGUAAAGUCCUUUUCUGGGGGACGAUGAUGACGGUACCCCAGGAACAAGUCCCGGCUAACUACGUGCCAGCAGCCGCGGUAAAACGUAGGGGGCGAGCGUUAUCCGGAUUUACUGGGCGUAAAGCGCAUGUAGGCGGUUGGGAAAGUUGGACGUGAAAGCUCCUGGCUUAACUGGGAGAGGUCGUACAAAACUACCCAACUUGAGGUUGGAAGAGGAGAGUGGAAUUCCCGGUGUAGUGGUGGAAUGCGUAGAUAUCGGGAGGAACACCAGUGGCGAAAGCGGCUCUCUGGACCAAUACUGACGCUGAGAUGCGAAAGCGUGGGGAGCAAACGGGAUUAGAUACCCGGGUAGUC
RNAcentral lists this ribosomal RNA (440 nucleotides) under uncultured bacterium. Its description in RNAcentral is "partial 16S ribosomal RNA". It matches the Rfam family "Bacterial small subunit ribosomal RNA", at positions 338 to 795 of the family's 1533-position model. The record is from RNAcentral.